RNAcentral lists this ribosomal RNA (397 nucleotides) under uncultured bacterium. RNAcentral's name for it is "bacterial SSU rRNA". It matches the Rfam family "Bacterial small subunit ribosomal RNA", at positions 361 to 771 of the family's 1533-position model. The record is from RNAcentral.
AUUUUCCGCAAUGGGCGAAAGCCUGACGGAGCAACGCCGCGUGGGUGAUGAAGAUUUUCGGAUCGUAAAGCCCUUUCAGCAGGGACGAAGCGAGUGACGGUACCUGCAGAAGAAGCAUCGGCUAACUACGUGCCAGCAGCCGCGGUAAUACGUAGGAUGCAAGCGUUGUCCGGAAUUAUUGGGCGUAAAGAGCUCGUAGGCGGUUUAGUAAGUCGGGUGUGAAAACUCUGGGCUCAACCCAGAGAUGCCACUCGAUACUGCUAUGACUUGAGUACGGUAGGGGAGUGGGGAAUUCCUGGUGUAGCGGUGAAAUGCGCAGAUAUCAGGAGGAACACCAGUGGCGAAGGCGCCACUCUGGGCCGAAACUGACGCUGAGGAGCGAAAGCGUGGGUAGCAA